CCCUACGGGGGGCAGCAGUAGGGAAUCUUCCACAAUGGGCGAAAGCCUGAUGGAGCAACGCCGCGUGGGUGAAGAAGGUCUUCGGAUCGUAAAACCCUGUUGUUAGAGAAGAAAGUGCGUGAGAGUAACUGUUCACGUUUCGACGGUAUCUAACCAGAAAGCCACGGCUAACUACGUGCCAGCAGCCGCGGUAAUACGUAGGUGGCAAGCGUUAUCCGGACUUAUUGGGCGUAAAGGGAACGCAGGCGGUCUUUUAAGUCUGAUGUGAAAGCCUUCGGCUUAAACGGAGUAGCGCAUUGGGAACU
This 305-nucleotide ribosomal RNA is filed under the name uncultured bacterium. RNAcentral describes it as "bacterial SSU rRNA". It matches the Rfam family "Bacterial small subunit ribosomal RNA", at positions 337 to 634 of the family's 1533-position model. The record is from RNAcentral.